UGGGGAAUAUUGGACAAUGGGCGCAAGCCUGAUCCAGCAAUUCCGCGUGGAUGAAGAAGGUCUUCGGAUUGUAAAGUCCUUUCGGCGGGGACGAUGAUGACGGUACCCGCAGAAGAAGCCCCGGCUAACUUCGUGCCAGCAGCCGCGGUAAUACGAAGGGGGCUAGCGUUGCUCGGAAUCACUGGGCGUAAAGCGCACGUAGGCGGCUUUUUAAGUCAGGGGUGAAAUCCUGGAGCUCAACUCCAGAACUGCCUUUGAUACUGAGAAGCUUGAGUUCGGGAGAGGUGAGUGGAACUGCGAGUGUAGAGGUGAAAUUCGUAGAUAUUCGCAAGAACACCAGUGGCGAAGGCGGCUCACUGGCCCGAUACUGACGCUGAGGUGCGAAAGCGUGGGGAGCAAAC
This 401-nucleotide ribosomal RNA is filed under the name uncultured bacterium. RNAcentral's name for it is "bacterial SSU rRNA". It matches the Rfam family "Bacterial small subunit ribosomal RNA", at positions 355 to 773 of the family's 1533-position model. The record is from RNAcentral.